AAAUUUAUUCAAACUCUUGACCAUGAUUCAUUCAGAAAAAUUAUAAAUUUAUCAUGAAUUUUCAUAUCCAAGAGCUAAAAAUAUUUUCUAAUGUAUGCAAUAUACACCUAGACUUAUUUAAAUCAAUAUAUAUACACACACAUUAUAAUUCGUUUACAAUAGUCACUUACAUACUUAAUUAAGUUCAAUUACUUGUCACUUACAAUUAAAAUAAAAUUACAUAAUUAAGACUAAAACUUAUUAAGAAAGGAUAUAAAAUUGCACCACUGUUUUCCAUAAAGAAAAAAAGUAG
Molecule: long non-coding RNA, 292 nt
Filed under: Salvia miltiorrhiza (redroot sage)
Lineage: Eukaryota; Viridiplantae; Streptophyta; Magnoliopsida; Lamiales; Lamiaceae
Description: long non-coding RNA (SMIL_LNC004277)
Source: RNAcentral